This 465-nucleotide ribosomal RNA is filed under the name Vreelandella stevensii. RNAcentral describes it as "partial 16S ribosomal RNA". It matches the Rfam family "Bacterial small subunit ribosomal RNA", at positions 338 to 795 of the family's 1533-position model. Lineage: Bacteria; Pseudomonadati; Pseudomonadota; Gammaproteobacteria; Oceanospirillales; Halomonadaceae. The record is from RNAcentral.
CCUACGGGUGGCAGCAGUGGGGAAUAUUGGACAAUGGGCGAAAGCCUGAUCCAGCCAUGCCGCGUGUGUGAAGAAGGCCUUCGGGUUGUAAAGCACUUUCAGUGGGGAAGAAAGCCUUGGGGCUAAUACCCUCGAGGAAGGACAUCACCCACAGAAGAAGCACCGGCUAACUCCGUGCCAGCAGCCGCGGUAAUACGGAGGGUGCGAGCGUUAAUCGGAAUUACUGGGCGUAAAGCGCGCGUAGGCGGUCUGAUAAGCCGGUUGUGAAAGCCCCGGGCUCAACCUGGGAACGGCAUCCGGAACUGUCAGGCUAGAGUGCAGGAGAGGAAGGUAGAAUUCCCGGGGUAGCGGUGAAAUGCGUAGAGAUCGGGAGGAAUACCAGUGGCGAAGGCGGCCUUCUGGACUGACACUGACGCUGAGGUGCGAAAGCGUGGGUAGCAAACAGGAUUAGAUACCCGAGUAGUC